RNAcentral lists this long non-coding RNA (216 nucleotides) under Cavia porcellus (domestic guinea pig). RNAcentral describes it as "WT1 antisense RNA conserved region 3 (ENSCPOG00000034543.1)". It matches the Rfam family "WT1 antisense RNA conserved region 3". The record is from RNAcentral. Lineage: Eukaryota; Metazoa; Chordata; Mammalia; Rodentia; Caviidae.
UUGGUUUUCAGUUUUGUGACGUGCGUUUCUGCGGCUCGCAGAAACACCCAGGAGCUCCGGGAGGCGUCGGCGACGGCGCAGCCUGGGACGGCCAGGCGCGGGCGAGAAGCGGGGCACUUGGGGCCCGCACGGGCUGGCGGGGAGCAGCGCGGGUCUUCCCGCCCAGCCUGCCGCGCGCAAUCGAGAUCGUUGCAGUUUUGCAAAGAAACGGAGCGU